CACGUAGGGGGCGAGCGUUGUCCGGAUUUAUUGGGCGUAAAGGGCUCGUAGGCGGUUGGGUAAGUCAGAUGUGAAACCUCCAGGCUCAACCUGGAGACGCCAUCUGAUACUGCCCUGACUGGAGUUCGGUAGAGGAGUGUGGAAUUUCUGGUGUAGCGGUGAAAUGCGCAGAUAUCAGAAGGAACACCAACGGCGAAGGCAGCACUCUGGGCCGAUACUGACGCUGAGGAGCGAAAGCAUGGGGAGCGAACAGG
This 254-nucleotide ribosomal RNA is filed under the name uncultured bacterium. RNAcentral describes it as "partial 16S ribosomal RNA". It matches the Rfam family "Bacterial small subunit ribosomal RNA", at positions 524 to 776 of the family's 1533-position model. The record is from RNAcentral.